UGGUGGAGCGCUUCAUCAAAAAGGG
This 25-nucleotide non-coding RNA is filed under the name Mus musculus (house mouse). Lineage: Eukaryota; Metazoa; Chordata; Mammalia; Rodentia; Muridae. The record is from RNAcentral.